This is a long non-coding RNA of Alexandromys fortis (reed vole), 5094 nucleotides long. RefSeq lists it as uncharacterized. The transcript is spliced from 3 exons. The record is from RefSeq and is a predicted model, not a curated record. NCBI's taxonomy places the organism in Eukaryota, Metazoa, Chordata, Mammalia, Rodentia, Cricetidae.
GAGACAGUUUCUUAGUGAGCACAUGAAAGUGUACCCAUAUAAUGCACAUGGCACCAUCAUAGUAUCCUAAUUCCCCUGCCAUGAAUACACUCAGGACUCUUCUCAAAUCUCCCACCACCCCCAAUCCCUGAUGCUCAUCAAGAGUGAAGGUUGAUCAGAGAUAUAAACCUAGUUGGAUUCAGAAGUACCUAGAUUACUCAAGCACACCUCUGGGUGUGACUGUGAGAGUGUUUCCAGACCAGCUUCACUAGAGUGAGAGCAGACUUCCCUGAAUGCAGGCAGUACCCUCUAUGGGCCAGGAGCCAAAAUGGACUGCUAGGAGCGCAGGAAAAAGCCUGGCAGCAGGAUAUUCUGUCUGUUUUCUGGCUAUCACUGCAAGGUAUGGACUGCUCUGCUCAUUGCACACUCCAUGCCGUGAUGAACGGAAACUCCUGAACCCAGGAUUGACCAUGUAAACCAAAGGCUCUCAAAAUGUGAACCCGUUAAAAAAAUAAAUAAAUGACCCAUUCCCCUGGGCUCCAUAUUCUGGGCCUACAACUCCAGUUGCUUUACAGAAGGCCAGGCUAGUCCUAAGGACUCCGGACAACAUACCACCCACCAAAUUGCACUCCUUAAAGCCCGCCCAACAGCCCUAGACACACCCUCUCCCCCAGGCUCCAAAUCCUGCCCACAACUUUGGCAGACUAGUGCUUUACCCCAAGGCCAGAAUGGUUCUAAAGACCCAAGGUAAGACUCUGCCCACCACUCACUAACACUCCUAAAAUUCCACCCAACAGCACCCGCUCCCUAGGCUUCAUAUUCCAGUACACAACUCCAGCUGCUUUGUGCUGCUUUCCCAAAGGCCAGGCUGGUCCUAGGGACCCAGGUAACACACCACCCACUGCCAAUUAACACUCCCUAAAUCUGGCCCAACAACCUUCAACUGCAUCCCAUUCCCUGAGCCCCAUAUCCCAACCCAAAACUUCAGCAGAAAACUUCUGUCUUACUGGAGGCCACCCCGUACUAGGAAUCCCAGAGACCAAGUAGAUACCCAGGAUCCCAGAGGCCACACAGGAACUGCAGAGGCAAAGUUGGCAUUCAAAACCCCGGUGGUGAACACCCUAGUGGACCUGAAGACUCACCAGUCCCAGAACCCCUGACUACUUAGACCAGAGGACAAGAAAGGAAGCAGAAACCAAGAAACAAAACAAUGACAAACUCAGGAAUCAACACUUAGACCUAUAAUCAUCCCAAACCCAGAUGCCUAAGCCUCAGUGUAAGAACAGAAUCAACAGAAAGGCAAUAUGUCACCACUAGAGCCCAGCUAUCUGACGACAAAAGCUGAACAUUCCUACACAGCUAAAGCACAAGAAAAUGUUAGGAAUUUUUCCUAACGCAAGCUCUUUGUCGAUGCAAAAAUCGCAAUCAAGCCAAAUCACAACAAGCCAAAUUAAAAAAUACCCAGGUUUAAUGGGAUUCCAGCCCUCUCAGGUGUCCCAAGGGGGAACCGGUAGGCUGCUAACAUGACCACCAGGGAAGAAGAAAAGGGACCAUGAGGAAACUUUCCAGGGAAGCAGUUUAAAUAGACUCAGGGCAUGGUCAAGAUUUUGGUGGGCUCAUCUUGACCUUCCUCCAGGAGAGGUCAAGACUUGGCGGGCCCAGGGAUGGGGCCUCCAAAGAUGGAGGCCAAAGACGGGCUUACAAUGACCUUAUAAAUAACUUUAUGAAGAUGAUAGAGGUCCUUAAAGAGAAAUGAAAAGAAAAAUCCCUUAAGGAAAUUGAGGGAAAGACAAACAAAACAUUGGAAGAAAUAAAUCUCUUAAAGAAUGCCAAGAAAGUCAAGGAAAAAAUAAAAACAGGUGAAGGAAAAUAUUCAAGACCUAAAAAUGGGGAAAGAAGCAAUAAAGAAAACACAAACAGGAAAUUCUGGAAAUGGAAAAUCUGGGAAAGAGAACAGGAACUACAGAUGCAAGCAUCACCAAUAGAAUACAAGAAACGGAAGAAUCUCAGACAUUGAAGAUACAAUAGAAGAAAUAGAAUCAUUGGCCAAAGAAAAUGUUAAAUCUAAUAUAUUCUUAACAUGAAACAUCCAGGAAAUCUGGGACACUAUGAAAAAUAAUGAAGGAAAUAUACAGCAAACUAACAGUCAACAUCAAAGUAAAUGGAGAGAAGCUCAAAGCAAUUCCACUAAAAUCAGGAACAAGACAAUUCUGUCCACUCUCUCCAUAUCAAUUCAAUAUAGUACUUGGAAUUCUAGCUAAAGAAAUAAGACAACAAAGGGAGACUGAGGGGAUAUAAAAUAGAAAGGAAGAAGCCAAACUUUUGCUAUUUGCAGAUGAUAUAAUAGUAUACAUAAGUGACCCAAAAAAAUUCUACUAGGGACUCCUACAGCUGAUAAACACCUUCAAUGAAUUGGCUGGAUACAAAAUUAACUAAAAAAAAAUCAGCAGCCUCUCUGUAUACAAAUGAUAAAUAGGCUGAAAAAGAAAUUAAGGAAACAGUACCCUUCACAAUAGUCACAAAUAAUAUAAAAUCCUUGGUGUAACUCUAACCAAGCAAAUGAAAGACCUGUAUGACAAUAACUUUAAAAUCCUUGACGAAAGCAACUGAAGAAGAUAUCAGAAGAUGGAAAGAUCUCCCUUGCUCAUGGAUUGGUAGGAUUAAAAUAGCAAAAAUGGUCAUCUUAACAAAAACAAUCUACAGAUUUAAUGCAAUCCCCAUCAAAAUUCCAACACAAUUCUUUACGGACCUUGAAAAUACAAUACUCAACUUCAUAUGAAAAAAAAAACAAUAACUAAAAUAAUCCUGUACAAUAAAAUAACUGUCUGAGGUAUCACCAUCCCUUAUUUUUUUUUAAAUUUCGAGACAGGGUUUCUCUGUAGCAUUGGAGCCUGUCCUGGAACUCCCUUUGUAGACCAGGCUGGCCUCGAACUCACAGAGAUCCGCCUGCCUCUGCCUCCCAAGUGCUGGGAUUAAAGGCGUGCGCCACCACCGCCUGGCUACCAUCCCUUAUUUUAAACUGUACCACAGAGCUAUAGUAAUAAAACCACAUGGUAUUGGCAUAAAAACACAGUUCACCAAUGGAACGGAACCAAAGACCCAGAUGUAAAUUCAUAUACAUAUGGACACCCGAUUUUAGAUAAAGAAGUCAGAAAUAUGCAAUGGAAAAAAGAAAGCUUCUUCAGCUGAUUGAACUGAAUGCCAUCAGUAGAAGGGUACAAAUAGAUCCAUAUGUAUCACCCUGCACAAAACUCAAAACCAAGUAGAUCAAAGACCUCAACAUAAAGCCAGAUACACUAAACCUGAUAGAAGAGAAAGUGAGAAAUAGCCUUGAACACAUUGGCAUAAGAAACUUCCUGAACAGAACACCAACCACACAGGCACUAAGAUCAACAACUAAUAAAUGGGACCUCAUGAAACUGAAAAGCUUCUGUAAGGCAAAGGACACUGUCAAAAGGACAAAAGGGUAGCCUACAGAAUGAGAAAAUAUCUUUUCCAAUCCCACAUCUGACAGAGGGCUGAUUGCCAAAAUGUAUAAAGAACUCAAAAAAAAACUAAACAUCAACAAACCAAAUAAUCCAAUUUAUAAAUGGGGUACAGAUUUAAACAGAGAAUUCUCAACAGAGAAAUAUCAAAUGGCCAAGAAUCACUUAAAGAAAUGUUCAACAUCCUUAACUCUCGGAGAAAUGCAGAUCAAAAUGACUCUGAGAUUCCAUUUUAGACCUGUCAGAAUGGUUAAGACCAAACACAAGUGAUAGCUCAUGCUGGUGAGGAUAUGGAGCAAGGGGAACACUUCUCCACUCCUGAUAGGAGUGCAAACUUGUACAGCCACUUUGGAAGUCAAUAUGGUAGUAUCUCAGAAAAUUGGGAAUCUAUCUACCUCAAAACCCAGCUCUACCACUCGUGGACAUAUACCCAAAGGAUGCUCUACCAUAUGACAAGGACAUUUGCCCAACCAUAUUCUUGGCAGCUUUAUUCAUGAUAGCCAGAAACCAGAAACAACCUAGAUGUCCAUCAACCAAAGAACUGGCAAAGAAAAUGUGGUGUAUUUUCACAAUGCAGUAUUACUCAGCUGUUAAAAACAAUGAAAAUGAAAUUUUCAGACAAAUGGAUGGAGCUAGAAAAGAUCAUUCUGAGUGCGGUAAUUCAGACCCAGAAAGACAAAAAUGGUAUGUACUCAUUCAUAAGUGGAUAUUAGCUGUAAAAUAAAGGAUAACCAUGCUAUAAUCCACAGACUCAAAGAAGCUAAGUACCAAGAAGAGUUCAUGGGGGGAACACAUGAAUCUCACUGUAAAGAGGAAAUAGAAUAUACAUCACAGGUGAAUAGAGGGAGUGGUCUGUGUGGGAAGUGGGCAUGGGAACAGAAGAAGUUGGGUGGGGAAAGAUGGAGAGAGAGAAUACUGGGAAAGACAACUGGUAUUAAGGGGCAUCUCUGGAAUAAGCAAGAAGCCUAGUCCAAUGGAAACUCCCAGAGUCCUAGGAAGGUGACUCUAGCUAAGACUCCUAACAAUAGGGGCAUAAGAAGCCUGAACCUGCCAUCUCCUGUAACCUGGAAAGACUUCCAGUGGAGGGACUGGGACACCAUCCCAAUCACAAAUUCUUCAAUCUACAAUUUUCCCUGCUUACAAGAUGUGCUGGAAUAAGAUAGCACAGACAUUAUAGGAGUAGCCAACCAAUGACUGCUCCAGCUUGAGACCCAUACCAUGAUAGGAAGCCUACCCCUGACACUUCCUGGAGCGUCAGGGCCCAGAGGCUGAGCAACCCAAAGACUAUCCUGCCUGGCCAGUCUGAACAUGACUGUUAAUAAAGAAGAGUCAAUGAAAUGAUUCCUAAUGAUACUCUGCUAUACUCACAGAUUAUUGCUAGCCCAUUGUCAUCAGAGAUGCUUCACCCAGCAACUGAUGGAAAUAGACACAGAGACCCACGGCCACACAUAAGACCUCAAGUCUAAAAUCUUGUGUGGGGUCGCCGGGGAGUCCAGUUUCAGCCACAGUCAGGAUCCUUCUGAACCUUCAACUCCCAGCAGAAGAACUCCGAGCAGCUUUCUUAACUUCGGACGACCUGAACACACUGUCCGUUGUCUGCGUCUCAUUCCACUCCCAGUUACAGUCUGUC